UCUGAUGGCAGAAACUGCUUUGUACUUUGACAAAACCGUACGUUGCUUGCAGAAGACAAACUCAGAUAAUGCAGUUUGUAUUCCAAGUCAAAUACCUGGCAGGUUUUCUUUUGAUUAUAGUUGUGGGAUUCCACUGAAUAUGUUGUUCUUGUUGUAUAGUUGAAGGGCAAAAGGAAGGGUGGUUAAAACUUUUGUCCAAACAUCAUGGCUAGCAUUUCACAGAUUUCCGAUAUAUUGAACUCCUACUUGAAAUGAUUUCAUGUUUGAGGAACAACACAAGAAAAGGAGGCCAGUCCAUUGAUAUUCAAGCCAAGGUACAAUCACAAUGAUAUCAGUGGAAAUGAACUGCAAGGAAGAAGUGAAACUAAGGUAUGUUGAUGUUGACAUGGCCGCGUGUAUCUCUCUGAAUUUUUUGUAAGUAACAGGAUUCUUUUGUGAAAGAAAGAAGAACUGAGGGAAAAGAUAAGUAG
RNAcentral lists this unclassified non-coding RNA (470 nucleotides) under Hevea brasiliensis (rubber tree). The record is from RNAcentral. Lineage: Eukaryota; Viridiplantae; Streptophyta; Magnoliopsida; Malpighiales; Euphorbiaceae.